This 474-nucleotide ribosomal RNA is filed under the name uncultured bacterium. RNAcentral describes it as "partial 16S ribosomal RNA". It matches the Rfam family "Bacterial small subunit ribosomal RNA", at positions 28 to 507 of the family's 1533-position model. The record is from RNAcentral.
GAUGAACGCUAGCGGCAGGCCUAACACAUGCAAGUCGAGGGAGGAGCCUUCGGGCUUCGACCGGCGUACGGGUGCGUAACGCGUAUACAAUCUGCCUUUCACAUAGGGAUAGCCCGAAGAAAUUUGGAUUAAUACCUAAUGGUAUAUAGAUGUGGCAUCACCUUUAUAUUAAAGCUGAGGCGGUGAAAGAUGAGUAUGCGUUCUAUUAGCUAGUUGGAGAGGUAACGGCUCCCCAAGGCGACGAUAGAUAGGGGUUCUGAGAGGGAUAUCCCCCACACUGGUACUGAGAUACGGACCAGAAUCCUACGGGAGGCAGCAGUGAGGAAUAUUGGACAAUGGUCGGAAGACUGAUCCAGCCAUGCCGCGUGCAGGAAGACGGCCUUAUGGGUUGUAAACUGCUUUUGCAGGGGAAGAAUAAGGACUACGCGUAGUUUGAUGACGGUACUCUGCGAAUAAGCAUCGGCUAACUCCGUG